AUGGAAAGGUUGGUGAAUGGAAGGAUAAUGCACUUUAUUGAAGAAAGGGGGGUGAUGACUAGUUGUCAGAGUGGUUUUAGAAAGGGGAGAAGUACUAUUGAUUCAGUCAUAUGUCUUGAGGAUGAAAUAAGAAAAGCACAGGUAAAGAAAGAGACUGUUGUGGCAGUAUUUUUAGAUGUGGAAAAAGCAUAUGACAUGCUAUGGGUAGAGGGCCUUUUAAUCAAAAUGCAUAUGUUAGGAAUUGGGGGAAAUAUGUUUAACUGGGUGAUGGACUUUUUAAAUAAUAGAAGUAUUCAGGUGAAAAUAGGGAAAGAAACAUCUAGAAGGUGCUUGGUAGAAAAUGGGACACCACAAGGAAGUGUGAUUAGUCCAUUACUGUUCAACAUCAUGAUUAAUGAUAUUUUUGCUAAUGUUCAGCCAGGAAUUGGAAGAUCACUAUUUGCAGAGGAUGGUAGUUUAUGGAAAAGGGGGAAAAAUGUAAAGUACAACCUGAAGAAGGUACAGGAAGCUCUAACACUAGUGGAGGACUGGGGAAGGAAAUGGGGCUUUAGAUUCUCUAUUGAGAAGACAAAGGUUAUGUUUUUUACUCGAAAGAAAAUAGAUGAAAGUAUAAAACUGGAGCUGUAUGGUAGGAAUUUGGAGAGGGUUAAAAGUUUUACAUUUCUUGGUGUGUUUUUUGAUACAAGACUUACAUGGAGGGAUCAUGUAUCAAAAGUAGUAGAUAAAUGUAAAAAAGUAAUGAAUUUAAUGAGAUGUCUUGCUGGAACAGUAUGGGGAGCAGAUAUAGCUUCUUUGAAGCAAAUUUAUGUAUAUUUAAUCAGAGCAAGAAUUGAAUAUGGAUGUUUGGUUUAUGGAUCUGCAGCCAAAUCAGUUUUAGCUGGAUUAGAUAAAGUCCAAGCUAUGGCACUUAGAAUAUGUACAGGAGCUGUGCGAUCCUCUCCAGUAUGCUCUUUGCAGGUAGAAACAGGAGAAAUGCCACUCUGUCUAAGAAGAAAGCAGCUUCAGGCUAACUAUUGGGUCAGUUUGAUGGGUCAAAGGGAUGACCACCCAGUUAAAAUAACAAUACAGGAAAGCUGGGAGAGAGAGGUGGCAAGACUUCCAAGUUUUGGAUGGACCGGGAAGGCAGUGGCACGGGAAAUGUCAAUAUAUGACAAGAACUUUUGUACAGGAGUACUGUGGCCAUCAGUUCCUUUAUGGGAACUGGAGGUACCAAAGAUCGACUUAGAGGUACUUGAGAUUAAAUCAGAUAAUCCUGAAUCAAAUUUGGUGCAAUACAAUAUCAAGAUCACAUAUUAA
Molecule: long non-coding RNA, 1296 nt
Filed under: Sparus aurata (gilthead seabream)
Lineage: Eukaryota; Metazoa; Chordata; Actinopteri; Spariformes; Sparidae
Description: lncRNA (ENSSAUG00010022736.1)
Source: RNAcentral